UUGACCUUCCUCCAUUGCUUCC
RNAcentral lists this microRNA (22 nucleotides) under Mus musculus (house mouse). RNAcentral describes it as "mmu-miR-7088-3p". Lineage: Eukaryota; Metazoa; Chordata; Mammalia; Rodentia; Muridae. The record is from miRBase by way of RNAcentral.